This is a long non-coding RNA of Drosophila nasuta, 2523 nucleotides long. RefSeq lists it as uncharacterized. The transcript is spliced from 4 exons. The record is from RefSeq and is a predicted model, not a curated record. Lineage: Eukaryota; Metazoa; Arthropoda; Insecta; Diptera; Drosophilidae.
GACGAUUUUGUGCAGCUCGAUAGCAUUGUCUAGCCUCCGGCGUAUGCGUCAAGAGUUAUGCUGCUGUCUCUGGCGGUUUUGCUGUCUUGCUCGCGUAAACGCGGCAGCUGCAGCUAUUUGGAUAUUGCUGAGUAAUAUGCUUACAGCAUCAUCGAUGUCAGUGGCCACGUUAAUCUGUGUUGCCAGGUGAAUGGAGUUUUCGAGAGACGACUGAAAGCAUCUGACAUCAGCGCCUCUGGCCAGCAGCCUGGAAUUUACUCGGCAACAGCGCAAAUUUGCAUUUACAUUGUCACAGAGUUCAAUCUUAAGCGGCAAAUGGUCAGAGCUCAGUUCAGUGCUGGAUGAAAUGUUUAUGACGUUGCCAUCAAUGCCACUGGUGAUGGCAAAGUCAAUGGCCGACGGACGCUUCCUGCGAUCAUGCGGGUAGUGAGUGGCACCACCGGUGGCCAGGACAUUGUACCUGCGGCUUGCAUGGAUAGCCUCGCACAAUGCCCUACCCCUCUGGCACGCACGUGGAUUUCCCUACCAUGAAUGAUUAGCAUUCCAGUUACCGCAUAAGAGGAAGCGGGCCGCUGUAUCGCCAGCUUUUAGCAAAAUGGGUGCGCAUUGGAUCAAAUCUUCAUUAAUUGGCUGCAGUGCCGAAUGACUGAUGCCAGAACGUACCAUGAGGGCAGCACCUCCUUUGCGGUGUGUGUUCGGAUUGACGGCAAAGUAUCUGGCAAAUCCCGGCAAUUCGAACACACUGUCGUUGAUUGGCGCUCGUGUUUCUGCAUUCCAGAAGGCGAUCUUGAGGGUGUCAUGGCUAUCUGGAUCUGGCAGCACUCUUGGAAUUGAGCCUGGGCCAGAGUCCAGAUUUGGAUAAGCUGCAGCAUCACCUAUGCGAUUAGGCAUUAUAAAUCUGUUCAUUUGCUGAUGCGCACUCGACGUCUAUACUAAAGUCUAGGUCUAACAUAUAGUUAUUUAACUGGGAAGAACCCCUACAAAAGGUCAUAAGCUUACACUUAUUGCAGUUGAGAUGUAACAUAUUUACUCUGUACCAAGAUUCUGGACAAUUAAGGUCACAUUGUAACAGUGAGCUCGCAAGACUAUCAUUAAAUGUCAGGCAAAGCUUUACGUCAUUGGCGUACAUAAGUACACGGGAAUGCUCAAUAACAGAAGGAAGAUCAUUUAUGAACAAAGUGAACAAUAGAGGACCCAAAUGACUGCCCUGGGGCACACCAGAAGUGACUUGGACACAUUUAGAUACAAAACUAAUAUAAUAAACAUUCUGAAUUCUGUUGGAAAGGUAUGAGGAUAUCCACUCAAUUAGGCUAAGAGGAAACCCUAAAGCAUUAAACGUAUACAGUAAAAGGUGAUGAUUAACAGAGUCAAAAGCCUUACUAAAAUCGGUGUAAAUGACAUCCGUUUGCAUUUUAUUCUCGAAUCCUUUAAUUACAAUAGAAGUGAACUCCAAUAAGUUAGUAGAAGUGGAUCUAGACUUCACAAACCCAUGUUGGUAAGGUGAAAUUAUAGAUUUACACAGAUGUUGCAGUUGAGAAGUUAUAAUUUUUUCAAAUGCUUUCGGAAUCGCAGACAAUUUAGAUAUACCGCGAUAAUUUUGAACUUUAGAUUUGCUCGCUUGUUUUAGGAUAGGUAUAAUGUAUGAUUUUUUCCAGAUUUUAGGAAAAGAACAUGAGUUAACGGAUAAUUCAAACAAUAUAAAAAGCGGUUUACAGAUACUACCAGCACAAUACCUUAGCACACAACUAAGUACUCCAUCCGGACCAGCCGAAAAAACAGGUUUUAUAGCCAAUAGUUCCGUUAAAAUAGAGCUUUCAGUAAUUAAAGGACCAAAAAUACAAUUAGAUGAAUUUAACUGAUAAGGAUAAGAAAAGGAAUUUUGAGAACUUGGGACAGAAUAUAUCGUUUGGAAAAAGUCCGCAAAUAAAUCGGCAACAUCAUGACCAUUAGAUACUGUCAUAUUCUCCAAAGACAUAAAUGCUGGUGAUGACACGGAUCUACGCUUUGAGUUAACGAAGUCGUAAAAUCGUUUUGGAUCACGCUGAAAUCUUAUUCUGCACCUACUCAAAUAAUUCUUAUAACACAUUGUUAUGAGUGCGAAAAGCAGCUUGAGCAAGAGAAUAGCGGAGAAAAUCUAAAGAAGAGCCAGUUCCCUUGAAUUUUUUGUAAAAUCUCGACUUACGAUUUUUUAAAUUCGAUAAUUUCUUUGUAAACCAUAAGGGUUUAUCAGCCAAAUGUGGAAUACUUGAUGGAACACAAGCAUCAAAUAGCGAGUUUAAAGUAGAAUAGAAAAAUUCAACCGCUAUAUCGAAGUUUGUAGACAAAGAAAGUUGGGACCAGUCAGUUUGAGAUAUAAGCAGAGCAAGUUUCUCAAAAUCGGUUUUCCGAAAACAACGAGAAAGCUCACCACAACGUACACUCGACUCUGACGCAAUAAAUGGGAGCUCCAACAUUAUUUCUAAAGUGGGAUGGUAAGGGUCUUCAGGGGAAGAUAUAGGAGAUAUUCUCGAUAGAGAACAUGAA